CACACUCUCUUCCAACCCGUGAAUGAAUUUUCUCUUCUGUGGAAGCUUCAUCUUGGGAGCCAUUUGCACAAGCAGUACUAGCACGAAGCUUAGGAGACUAAAUGUGAGGGAGAGACGAGAAGAUUCUAGUGGAAAGGCAAAGAUUUUGGAGAGGUGAAGUGCCGAUUUGGAGAAGAUGGGUAGAGUCUAGGGCAAUCUCGAACCGCCCCAA
This 211-nucleotide long non-coding RNA is filed under the name Elaeis guineensis (African oil palm). Its description in RNAcentral is "long non-coding RNA (EGUI_LNC037974)". Lineage: Eukaryota; Viridiplantae; Streptophyta; Magnoliopsida; Arecales; Arecaceae. The record is from RNAcentral.